AGACCAUUAUGCUACAAUACAAAGUUAUUAAGAGAGUCCCCGCCUGCCCAAGUGAGAUAUACUUCUUUUUUUAACGGCCGCGGUAUCCUAACCGUGCAAAAGGUAGCGUAAUCAAUUGCCCCUUAAAUGGGGGCUGGUAUGAACGGCUGAAUGAGGGCGUAUCUGUCUCCUGAGACCAAUUAAUGAAACUGAUCUUUCAGUACAAAAGCUGAAAUCCACUCAUAAGACGAACAGACCCUGUGGAGCUUUAAACUCUAAUACUACAACCAACUUUACCCCCUACUCUCCCCGGAGGCACCUUAAAACUCGAUAGUAUUAAUAUUUUUAGUUGGGGCGACGUGCGGAAUAUAAAAAAUCUUCCACGAAAACAGGAUCACAAUCCAUCCAAGACCAACAAGUCAAAGAAAAACACACUUGACCCAGUAAUACUGAUCAACGAACCAAGUUACCCCAGGGAUAACAGCGCCAUCCCCUUCAAGAGCCCAUAUCGCCAAGGGGGUUUACGACCUCGAUGUUGGAUCACGACAACCAAGUGGUGCAGCCACUACUAAAGGUUCGUUUGUUCAACGAUUAAUGUCCU
RNAcentral lists this ribosomal RNA (580 nucleotides) under Gekko gecko (tokay). Its description in RNAcentral is "partial 16S ribosomal RNA". It matches the Rfam family "Bacterial large subunit ribosomal RNA", at positions 1816 to 2597 of the family's 2925-position model. The record is from RNAcentral. Lineage: Eukaryota; Metazoa; Chordata; Lepidosauria; Squamata; Gekkonidae.